AAAAAUGAACAUGGUCUCCGUUGGUGAACCAGCGGAGGGAUCAUUA
This 46-nucleotide ribosomal RNA is filed under the name Waltergamsia fusidioides. RNAcentral's name for it is "Acremonium fusidioides partial 18S ribosomal RNA". The record is from RNAcentral. Lineage: Eukaryota; Fungi; Ascomycota; Sordariomycetes; Hypocreales; Bionectriaceae.